GUUGAACGCUGGCGGCGUGCUUAACACUUGCAAGUCAAAUGACCCUUCGGGUUAUUGGCGGACGGGUGAGUAACGCGUGAAAAUCUGCCCUCAGGAGGGGAAUAACGGCUGGAAGCGGCCGCUAAUACCCCAUAUGCCGCGAGGUGAAAUGAAAUUCGCCGGAGGAUAACCUCGCGUCUGAUUACCUAGUUGGUGGGGAAAGACCCAACCAAGGUUUCGUUCUUUAGCUGGUCUAAGAGGAUGAUCGCCCCCAUUGGGACUGAGACACGGCCAACACUCCUCCGGGAGGCAGCUGUGGGGAAUUUUCCACACUGGCCGAAGGCCUGACGGAGCAACUCCGCGUGAGGGAUGAAGGCCUCUGGCCUGUAUUCCUCUUUUAUCAAGAAAGAAUAUCUGACGGUACUUGAUGAAUAAGCCACGGAUAAUUCCUUGCCAA
This 436-nucleotide ribosomal RNA is filed under the name uncultured bacterium. RNAcentral describes it as "bacterial SSU rRNA". It matches the Rfam family "Bacterial small subunit ribosomal RNA", at positions 28 to 511 of the family's 1533-position model. The record is from RNAcentral.